This 254-nucleotide ribosomal RNA is filed under the name uncultured bacterium. RNAcentral describes it as "partial 16S ribosomal RNA". It matches the Rfam family "Bacterial small subunit ribosomal RNA", at positions 524 to 776 of the family's 1533-position model. The record is from RNAcentral.
UACGUAGGGUGCAAGCGUUAAUCGGAAUUACUGGGCGUAAAGCGUGCGCAGGCGGUUGUGCAAGACAGAUGUGAAAUCCCCGGGCUCAACCUGGGAACUGCAUUUGUGACUGCAUAGCUAGAGUGCGGCAGAGGGGGAUGGAAUUCCGCGUGUAGCAGUGAAAUGCGUAGAUAUGCGGAGGAACACCGAUGGCGAAGGCAAUCCCCUGGGCCUGCACUGACGCUCAUGCACGGAAAGCGUGGGGAGCAAACAGG